RNAcentral lists this long non-coding RNA (2094 nucleotides) under Equus caballus (horse). RNAcentral's name for it is "lncRNA (ENSECAG00000048867.1)". Lineage: Eukaryota; Metazoa; Chordata; Mammalia; Perissodactyla; Equidae. The record is from RNAcentral.
CCCCGCCCCGCUCACCCCAGCUCCUUUCUCCAGCAGCCUCUGAACUGCAGUGGGUAAUUUUUUCUGGGUUUCAGUUAAUAAAGGGUAAGUAGCCUCAUUUUGCUUUUUUUUACUUCGAGGUCUCAGCCUUGUCUAUUUGCCAUCAAGUCCACAGCCCACAAUGGUUAGACAUGAGUGCUUAGGGGUAGUUGGAGCACAAGGGCAGUUAGUUGGAUUUUGAUCUUUUUUUUUCCCUUUUGAAUUAGAUUUGCAGGCAUAGAGUCAGUAAAUUCCUUGAGAAAACAGUCCAAGACUCUUUUGUACAUCCAGAAGUGGGCAUCAAGCAAUGAUAUUUGGAUGAAUAACAAUGAGUGGAUGAGUACACUGGAGAAUGGGAAAGCCAACCUUGAGAAAUGCCUCUUGGGACCUUCGCAUUUGGCUAUUUACAGAGCACAUGUGAUGACAAACAGGUUCAUCUAGAAAACUUGAAGUUGCCCAGCUGAUACCACCUGACUCUGCUACUCUUGUUAGCAUGCUGUGUGAGUUUUAGCAAUUGUUAUUCACAGUGAUGGUUGGGCAAGAAGUGUGCCCAAUCUGUGGACUAAGGUCUACGAGGCGGCCUGGUGCCAGAGCUCUGCCCAGCAGAGAGAGGGAUGAUUAACCGGAUGGGACUUUGACUUGUAGACAGAGUUGACUGUUGACAGCAUGGGCAGAGGCUGAGAGACACACAGUGAGAAGCCGAGGCCAGAGAUUAACUGGGCUAGUAUAACAGGAAAACAUUAAAAAAAAAAAUCAAGACUAAUUAUAAUGAUAGCUGAAAUUAAUUGCUUACGAUAUGCCAGGCACUAUUCUAAGUGCACUUUACAUCAAUUAUCUCCCUUAAAUCUCACAACAACUCUAAGGAGUAGAAGAAUUUUCACCAUUUUCCAGAUGAGGAAAUGGAGGAACAGAGAGGUUAAUGAACUUGCCCAAGGUUACGCUGAUUGGAAGUGGCAUAGCUGAGCUAUGAAACCAAAUAGUCUGGCUGUAGAGUCUAUGCUCUUGUGAUUUACACCCUACCGUCCUGUAAUGGAAUACGUAAAAGCAUAUGUAUGUAUGUAUGUAUAUGUGUGUGUGAAUGUAUAUGCAUACACUGAUAUUGAUAUACGUCAGUGGAAACUGGCUGGGGAGAGGGUGACCAGAUUACAUCAGUCAGCAGAUCCAAGAAACUCCUCAGGUUCCUCAAUCAUGUUUCAAGGUCUGGGUAGCAGCUACUGUUCCUGCCCUAGCCCUGGGUAGGUGACCAACCAUCCUAGUUGCCAAGUAUGUUUGUGGUUUCCCCACUGAAAAUCCCCUCUUUGGUCAGAUUCUGGUCUUUCUCAUUUCUCUCUACUCCUCACAAUAGGAUCCUGUGUGACUGCCUCUCUUCUUUGUAACCUUAAGAAGCCUGGUUGACAUCAGUGCUUCUGGUCACUGGCCUCCCUUUGCAUACCCUCUCCCCUGAGAACCCCAUUGCUCAUCCCCUCCUCCUGAUGGUACUGGCCAGAUGAGAAAAAGAAUCCGCUCUCUCUACCUCUUCUGUCUCUGCAGUGUCCCCUCAGGCUUUGUCCCCCAACUUGGUAACAAGGAUUGACCACACUGAUGAUGCCCUUUCCUCAGAGGUCACCUCAGCUCAUCCCCUUUGAGCCACUGAGUUCGGUAGGGGAGGGAACCCAUUUGGAGAAUGGACCUCAGGACGUGUUAAUUCCCUCUUCUCAUCUGACACAGAAAUUCCCUCAUCUCCUGGACCUCCCUCCUAACUCCUCCACGCUGAAUUGUUCUUGUCACUUUCCACAGCUUUAAUUUUUAGAAGUUUUCCCUCCAGUUAAUGUGGAAUAUGACAAAUCCCAGUUUGGCUUUCUGAAGUCACAGAAAAUAAAGCUUGCACCAGUGGAAUAAUGGUCUCCUCCAAGGAAGUAGAGCUCACACAGACUGGGAGGAAGGACGAAUCUAGAGGCGGAUGUGAUCUGCAAGCUAUUUGCACGGAAAUGGACGGCGCGGUUCUCAGGAGGAAAUGCAGAUAAUAUAACGCUAGAUAUAGAAAGACAGAAAAUUUCAUACGCAAUAUGAUCUCAACGUUAGAAAAAUAUACAUGGC